RNAcentral lists this ribosomal RNA (497 nucleotides) under uncultured bacterium. Its description in RNAcentral is "partial 16S ribosomal RNA". It matches the Rfam family "Bacterial small subunit ribosomal RNA", at positions 28 to 507 of the family's 1533-position model. The record is from RNAcentral.
GAUGAACGCUGGCGGCGUGCCUAAUACAUGCAAGUCGAGCGAACAGACGAGGAGCUUGCUCCUUCGACGUUAGCGGCGGACGGGUGAGUAACACGUAGGUAACCUACCUAUGAGACUGGGAUAACUUCGGGAAACCGGCGCUAAUACCGGAUAAUAUUUCGAACCGCGUGGUUCGAUAGAGAAAGAUGGCUUUGCGAUCACUUCUAGAGGGACCUGCGCCGUAUUAGCUAGUUGUUAAGGUAACGGCUUACCAAGGCAACGAUACGUAGCCGACCUGAGAGGGUGAUCGGCCACACUGGAACGGAGACACGGUCCAGACUCCUACGGGAGGCAGCAGUAGGGAAUCUUCCGCAAUGGGCGAAAGCCUGACGGAGCAACGCCGAGUGAGUGAUGAAGGUCUUCGGAUCGUAAAACUCUGUUAUUAGGGAAGAACAAACGUGUAAGUAACUGUGCACGUCUUGACGGUACCUAAUCAGAAAGCCACGGCUAACUACGUG